UAUAUUUAAGUGUUAAGAUGCACAGAAAAUUUUGAAUUUUCAAGAAUGGUUUAAUUCCAUAAAAUAUAA
This 69-nucleotide transfer RNA is filed under the name Pentatoma metallifera. Its description in RNAcentral is "tRNA-Gln". Lineage: Eukaryota; Metazoa; Arthropoda; Insecta; Hemiptera; Pentatomidae. The record is from RNAcentral.